Peromyscus eremicus (cactus mouse) is the source of this 968-nucleotide long non-coding RNA. RefSeq lists it as uncharacterized. The transcript has 2 exons. The record is from RefSeq and is a predicted model, not a curated record. Lineage: Eukaryota; Metazoa; Chordata; Mammalia; Rodentia; Cricetidae.
CUCCCCCGCAGGCUUCCAGCAGCUUCCGAUGCCCGGAUGCACUGACCCCCUGCGCGUCCACCCGCUUGAGAUCUCGCGGGAUUCGAUGAACCGCAAGGGGCCGGCGGGCGGCUCGACCUUAGCCCUAGAACCACACUACGCAAGCGCAGGACUAAGCCCGGCUCCGCCCCCUCCGGAGGGCGGGGUUUUGAAGUUUAGACCGGAUCCGGUGAACCCCGAGGUCGGUGAGAAGUGGCGGGAAUACGUGAUGGGUUGCUAGUCCAGAUUCAGAUUGUGAGAAUCCAGAAGACGAGGCCCAGCAUCACAACUGGCUUAGACACGUGUUUAAAAUAGCUUCUGUCUCUCUGCCUUAGCUAAUCAACCGAUGCUUUGGGCUCCUUUGGUACCCAAAAAAGCCUUGGAGAUACGCGGCUCCAGCAGUCUGCCUUUCCCUGUGUCUUCUGAAGAACCACUAGGCAAGGGCUUGUAGUUCAAGUGAACUGUCAGUUCACUCUUGUUAUGAUUUGACUAUGACACAUCCCCACAGGCUCAGCUGAUGCACUAUUUUGGAAGAUUUGGGAAAUAUUAGGAGGAAGGGCCUGAUUAGAGGAAGUGGGUUGUGAGCGUGGGGGCUUCGAAGAGUGUCUUAUUCCUGGGUUCUUCUUGUCUUUAUUUUUCCUUUCUGUCUAUCCUGAGCUGAACAUGCUUUACCACAUGCUCUCUGCCGUGACGUUCAGCUUCCACACAGGCCAGAAGCAACAGAGCCAAGUGACGACGACGGUGAACCGAAACCCCGGAGACCGUGAGUCUAACCGGUCUCCUUCCUUAUGCUGUUAAUCUCAGAUCAUCAUCACAACAACAAAGAACUGCCUGACAUGUACUUCAGAGAGCGUUCCCAAGUCAGCCACCCUCCCUGCCUGGGAAAUACUUUGCAGAACUGUUUCAAGUGAUUAUAUUUUACUUUUCAAAAACUAUUAUAUUUUACCAUG